UACAGGGGGGGCAAGCGUUGUUCGGAAUUACUGGGCGUAAAGGGCCAGUAGGCGGCCAACUAAGUCCGACGUGAAAUCCCCAAGCUUAACUUGGGAACUGCGUCGGAUACUGGAUGGCUUGAAUUCGGGAGAGGGAUGCAGAAUUCCAGGUGUAGCGGUGAAAUGCGUAGAUAUCUGGAGGAAUACCGGUGGCGAAGGCGGCAUCCUGGACCGACAUUGACGCUGAAAGGCGAAAGCUAGGGGAGCAAACGGG
Molecule: ribosomal RNA, 253 nt
Filed under: uncultured bacterium
Lineage: Bacteria
Description: partial 16S ribosomal RNA
Rfam family: Bacterial small subunit ribosomal RNA
Source: RNAcentral